RNAcentral lists this ribosomal RNA (507 nucleotides) under uncultured bacterium. RNAcentral describes it as "bacterial SSU rRNA". It matches the Rfam family "Bacterial small subunit ribosomal RNA", at positions 29 to 526 of the family's 1533-position model. The record is from RNAcentral.
AUUGAACGCUGGCGGCACGCCUAACACAUGCAAGUCGAGCGGUAGCAGUGGAUGUAGCAAUACAUUCAGCUGACGAGCGGCGGACGGGUGAGGAACACGUAGGAACCUGCCCACAGGCGGGGGAUAACCAGGGGAAACCUUGGCUAAUACCGCAUAUUUCCGAGAGGGGAAAGCUGCCCGCAAGGGUGGCACCUGUGGAGGGGCCUGCGUCCGAUUAGCUAGCUGGUGAGGUAAAGGCUCACCAGGGCGAUGAUCGGUAACUGGUCUGAGAGGACGGCCAGUCACACUGGGACUGAGACACGGCCCAGACUCCUACGGGAGGCAGCAGUGGGGAAUAUUGGACAAUGGGGGCAACCCUGAUCCAGCGAUGCCGCGUGAGUGAAGAAGGCCCUCGGGUCGUAAAGCUCUUUGGGCCGGGAAGAAGGUGAUGUGGUGAAUAUCCACGUUGCUUGACGGUACCGGCAGAACAAGCACCGGCAAACCCUGUGCCAGCAGCCGCAGUAACAC